UACGAAGGGGGCAAGCGUUGUUCGGAUUUACUGGGCGUAAAGCGUACGUAGGCGGAUAAUUAAGUCAGGGGUGAAAUCCCGGGGCUCAACCUCGGAACUGCCUUUGAUACUGGUUGUCUUGAGUCCGGGAGAGGUGAGUGGAACUCCUAGUGUAGAGGUGAAAUUCGUAGAUAUUAGGAAGAACACCAGUGGCGAAGGCGGCUCACUGGCCCGGAACUGACGCUGAUGUACGAAAGCGUGGGGAGCAAACAGG
Molecule: ribosomal RNA, 253 nt
Filed under: uncultured bacterium
Lineage: Bacteria
Description: partial 16S ribosomal RNA
Rfam family: Bacterial small subunit ribosomal RNA
Source: RNAcentral